Molecule: ribosomal RNA, 231 nt
Filed under: Triticum aestivum (bread wheat)
Lineage: Eukaryota; Viridiplantae; Streptophyta; Magnoliopsida; Poales; Poaceae
Description: partial small subunit ribosomal RNA
Source: RNAcentral
AUGUCACAAUCAUCGUGUCGUACAUGGAUAAAACUUCAUUUUGGGUUGCCCAGUGAGUUCCAAGAUAUAUUUGAUGUAGACUACUUCAUAGCAUCAUUGAGAGGUGUGUGGUUCAAAUUCUUCGUCGGAAUGGACCCUUUUGUGGUUCUCCACUUGUGGUAUAAGAUGGACAUACUUGCCUUCUCUGGGUGUACACAUGGUAGCAGGAAAGAUGAGGCUGAGGAGGGUUAG